GAUGGGGGUGGGUUGUUACAGGCAGCAGUCGUCACAGACGGAGAGGUAGUUGGUCAUGUUGGAAGCAUUGAAGACGACGUUGUUUAAGCAUUGGACGAUGCUGCAGAAGGAGAAGUUGGAGAAGGAGACGAAGCUCGAGUUGGAGAAGGAGACGAAGCUCGACUGAAUCACAUGCAUUGGAGUCCAUGUAGGUAUAAAAAGAUGACCACCCCUAACGGUUUUCUUGUGAUGCAGGUGUUAAUUGGUUGGAGGUAUUGGCAGCGGGGUACAUCAAGGUGCAUGCAGGUGGAGGAGAAUUCGGAAGGUGGUGGAUCAAUUGU
RNAcentral lists this long non-coding RNA (320 nucleotides) under Vigna radiata. RNAcentral's name for it is "long non-coding RNA (VRAD_LNC002259)". Lineage: Eukaryota; Viridiplantae; Streptophyta; Magnoliopsida; Fabales; Fabaceae. The record is from RNAcentral.